This 460-nucleotide ribosomal RNA is filed under the name uncultured bacterium. Its description in RNAcentral is "partial 16S ribosomal RNA". It matches the Rfam family "Bacterial small subunit ribosomal RNA", at positions 338 to 795 of the family's 1533-position model. The record is from RNAcentral.
CCUACGGGUGGCAGCAGUGAGGAAUAUUGGUCAAUGGGCGCAAGCCUGAACCAGCCAAGUCGCGUGAGGGAUGACGGUCCUAUGGAUUGUAAACCUCUUUUGUCGGGGAGCAAGGCCCGCCACGUGUGGCGGGAAGGAGAGUACCCGAAGAAAAAGCAUCGGCUAACUCCGUGCCAGCAGCCGCGGUAAUACGGAGGAUGCGAGCGUUAUCCGGAUUUAUUGGGUUUAAAGGGUGCGUAGGCGGAAGGUUAAGUCAGCGGUCAAAUGUCGGUGCUCAACACCGGCCUGCCGUUGAAACUGUUUUUCUUGAGUACUGGAGAGGCAGACGGAAUUCCUAGUGUAGCGGUGAAAUGCGUAGAUAUUAGGAGGAACACCAGUGGCGAAGGCGGUCUGCUGGACAGCAACUGACGCUGAGGCGCGAAAGCGUGGGGAGCAAACAGGAUUAGAUACCCGGGUAGUC